This 252-nucleotide ribosomal RNA is filed under the name uncultured bacterium. Its description in RNAcentral is "partial 16S ribosomal RNA". It matches the Rfam family "Bacterial small subunit ribosomal RNA", at positions 524 to 775 of the family's 1533-position model. The record is from RNAcentral.
UACAGAGGGUGCAAGCGUUAAUCGGAGUUACUGGGCGUAAAGGGCGCGUGGGCGGUCAUGCAAGUGAGAUGUGAAAUCCCCGGGCUUAACCUGGGAACUGCAUUUUAGACUGUGUGACUGGAGUACUGUAGAGGAUAGUGGAAUUUCCGGUGUAGCGGUGAAAUGCGUAGAGAUCGGAAGGAACACCAGUGGCGAAGGCGACUGUCUGGACAGAUACUGACGCUGAGGCGCGAAAGCGUGGGGAGCAACAGG